Molecule: ribosomal RNA, 396 nt
Filed under: uncultured bacterium
Lineage: Bacteria
Description: bacterial SSU rRNA
Rfam family: Bacterial small subunit ribosomal RNA
Source: RNAcentral
CUACCCUUGACAUGCCAGGAAUCCUCCAGAGAUGGGGGAGUGCCCGAAAGGGAGCCUGGGCACAGGUGCUGCAUGGCUGUCGUCAGCUCGUGUCGUGAGAUGUUGGGUUAAGUCCCGCAACGAGCGCAACCCUUGUCAUUAGUUGCUACGAAAGGGCACUCUAAUGAGACUGCCGGUGACAAACCGGAGGAAGGUGGGGAUGACGUCAAGUCCUCAUGGCCCUUAUUGGUAGGGCUUCACACGUCAUACAAUGGUACAUACAGAGGGCCGCCAACCCGCGAGGGGGAGCUAAUCCCAGAAAGUGUAUCGUAGUCCGGAUUGCAGUCUGCAACUCGACUGCAUGAAGUUGGAAUCGCUAGUAAUCGCGGAUCAGCAUGCCGCGGUGAAUACGUUCCC